UCUUUCCAGAAAUCCCAGACAGACCUCCCACACAGCUCAGAACCAUGCCAUCUGGCCUACCUGAGCUACAAAGGCCUUGGGAAAGGUGCAGAACACAGAGCUGGCAGCCUCCAGAGCAGCGAUUUCUGAGACUUUCCAAGCUCAGUGCCUCCAUCCCCCGUCCAUCCCAUGUAUCCUGGAGACCUUUCAGUGCGCACUUUCAUUUACAAGAGACUGAUGACCCUCGCUUUCUCAAGAGUCCCUUGCCCACUUGCCUGGAGUUGCUUUCUGUGGGCUGGAGCUCAGAAUCAAGCUUAGUGAAGCCCUGACUUAGAGUGGAAUUCUUGCAUGUAACUUCUUUUCAAAAACAUGUUCAUUUCUUUCCUUACCUUGAAACAAUUCAAGCGUCUUGCCGUGUUCGUGGCACACUCUGUACCAGGCAUGUAGAAGAAAGGGUGUCAGUUCCCAGUAGACUAGAGAACAGACUUAGGCUGGGUACCGUGCUUUCCAAAGCACUGGGCACCUGGAGGCUUUGAGUUCAAGGAAUCUGGUCACCCGUUCUGGUUUCUUCUCUCAGAGGUCAAGUUUGGCUCAAGGAACAACAGAGUUAAACAUUUUCUCCAUCAAAAGCCAUGAGUUGUGAGAGCAAGUGUUUCUUAAUUUGUGGCUAUGAGCCCAUGCUAUAAAUGUUGAAGGGAGCAGUAAAACUUCUCAUCAGGGUCACUUGGCCCCUUAGGAAGUCUAUGGGAGUGUGUUCCUCGUGUCUGUAAGCUGCUGCCCUGGGGGAGAAGGGGCCUUGUUUUCUAGCAGCUUCCCUAGCCUUGGCUCCAUAGAGAGCUCAGCCUGUUAACAGGGAGGGGACAUGGGCAGUGUCAUUUCAGACGUUCAUCCAGCAGAAAUGCUGAUGUGGUGUCAUGGGGGGACUGGCACCACCUGGCAAGGAAGCUCAGCAAGCUGACGGCAGAGACUGCACAUGGGCCACCAAGGCUGUGGAGGGAGACUCACUUAGGCACGAGGCCAGGAGAGUUACAACUCUAUCGAUCGAAUUUCUCCCUGGAACAUCAUUCCUUACAUGGUCUGCUCACACUCAGGGAUUAAGAAAGUGGAGUUGCUGGCCGGGUGGACCAUGCAUGGGCUUCUUCCUGGAGUCUAGCAACCACGGACGCCCACGACGACAUAGAGGCCCCAAAACAGCACAAAGGAAACGUGGUCCAGUUCCAGCUAACAUGGCUGUGGGAAAGAAGGGAGGAGUUGCGAGACUGCAGGAGGCGUUAACAGUCCAAGGAAACGUGUAGGUCCUGUUCCGACCCCACUGUGGACAGAUCAGCUGUGCAAACUCAUCCUAGGAGGGUUUGGGAGGUACGGCUCAGCCUGAAAUGUGCUUGUCAAGCCAGCACCCACGAAAACCAGCAGGAGCUCAGGAGGUAAGAGCAAUGGUCGCUCUUGCAGAGGACCUGGGUUCAGUUCCCAUCAACCACAUCAAGUGGCUCCUAACCGCCAGUAACUCUGAAUCUAUGGGAUCUGGUACCCUUUUCAGGUCUCUUCAGACACUUGCACAUACACAGUACAUGGUGUGGGAGAAUUGUCUGUAUUCUGUCAAUCAUGUUUUAAAUAAAACGCUGAUU
Molecule: non-coding RNA, 1604 nt
Organism: Myodes glareolus (Bank vole)
Lineage: Eukaryota; Metazoa; Chordata; Mammalia; Rodentia; Cricetidae
Source: RefSeq, a predicted model, not a curated record